RNAcentral lists this ribosomal RNA (253 nucleotides) under uncultured bacterium. RNAcentral describes it as "partial 16S ribosomal RNA". It matches the Rfam family "Bacterial small subunit ribosomal RNA", at positions 524 to 776 of the family's 1533-position model. The record is from RNAcentral.
UACAGAGGUCCCAAGCGUUGUUCGGAUUCAUUGGGCGUAAAGGGUGCGUAGGUGGCGCUGUAAGUCGGGUGUGAAAUCCUGAGGCUUAACCUCGGAACUGCAUUCGAUACUGCGGUGCUUGAGGACUGGAGAGGAGACUGGAAUUCAUGGUGUAGCAGUGAAAUGCGUAGAGAUCAUGAGGAAGACCAGUGGCGAAGGCGGGUCUCUGGACAGUUCCUGACACUGAGGCACGAAGGCCAGGGGAGCAAACGGG